This 265-nucleotide ribosomal RNA is filed under the name Siminovitchia fortis. RNAcentral describes it as "Bacillus fortis partial 16S ribosomal RNA". It matches the Rfam family "Bacterial small subunit ribosomal RNA", at positions 438 to 696 of the family's 1533-position model. Lineage: Bacteria; Bacillati; Bacillota; Bacilli; Caryophanales; Bacillaceae. The record is from RNAcentral.
AUCAGGGAAGAAUAAGCAUUGGUUAACUGCCAGUGCCUUGACGGUACCUGACCAGAAAGCCACGGCUAACUACGUGCCAGCAGCCGCGGUAAUACGUAGGUGGCAAGCGUUGUCCGGAAUUAUUGGGCGUAAAGCGCGCGCAGGCGGCUUCUUAAGUCUGAUGUGAAAGCCCACGGCUCAACCGUGGAGGGUCAUUGGAAACUGGGAGGCUUGAGUGCAGAAGAGAAGAGCGGAAUUCCACGUGUAGCGGUGAAAUGCGUAGAGA